Molecule: ribosomal RNA, 253 nt
Filed under: uncultured bacterium
Lineage: Bacteria
Description: partial 16S ribosomal RNA
Rfam family: Bacterial small subunit ribosomal RNA
Source: RNAcentral
UACGAAGGGGGCUAGCGUUGCUCGGAAUUACUGGGCGUAAAGGGAGCGUAGGCGGACUGUUUAGUCAGAGGUGAAAGCCCAGGGCUCAACCUUGGAAUUGCCUUUGAUACUGGCAGUCUUGAGUACGGAAGAGGUAUGUGGAACUCCGAGUGUAGAGGUGAAAUUCGUAGAUAUUCGGAAGAACACCAGUGGCGAAGGCGGCUCACUGGCCCGGUACUGACGCUGAUGUGCGAAAGCGUGGGGAGCAAACAGG